RNAcentral lists this transfer RNA (81 nucleotides) under Thermoleophilia bacterium. RNAcentral describes it as "tRNA-Tyr". It matches the Rfam family "tRNA". From Rfam's summary of the family: Transfer RNA (tRNA) molecules are approximately 80 nucleotides in length. Lineage: Bacteria; Bacillati; Actinomycetota; Thermoleophilia. The record is from RNAcentral.
GGGCGUGUGCCCGAGUGGUUAAAGGGGACGGGCUGUAAACCCGUUGCGUAAGCUACGAUGGUUCGAAUCCAUCCGCGCCCA